RNAcentral lists this unclassified non-coding RNA (336 nucleotides) under soil metagenome. Its description in RNAcentral is "partial contains 5.8S ribosomal RNA, internal transcribed spacer 2, and large subunit ribosomal RNA". The stretch from base 1 to 120 matches the Rfam family "5.8S ribosomal RNA", at positions 35 to 154 of the family's 154-position model. The record is from RNAcentral.
GAUGAAGAACGCAGCGAAAUGCGAUACGUAAUGUGAAUUGCAGAAUUCAGUGAAUCAUCGAAUUUUUGAACGCACAUUGCGCCCGCUAGUAUUCUGGCGGGCAUGCCUGUCCGAGCGUCAUUUCAACCCAUCAAGCUUAGCGCUUGUGUUGGAGCCCUGCGGCCGCCGCAGCCUCCUAAAAUCAGUGGCGGGCUCGCUAUCACGCUGAGUGCAGUAGUAUUCUUCUCACUCCUGUGGUGUAGCGGGUAACCAGCCGUAAACCCCCCCAUCUAUAAAGGUUGACCUCGGAUCAGGUAGGAAUACCCGCUGAACUUAAGCAUAUCAAUAAGCGGAGGA